This is a non-coding RNA of Hamiltosporidium tvaerminnensis, 74 nucleotides long. Lineage: Eukaryota; Fungi; Microsporidia; Dubosqiidae. The record is from the annotation of a GenBank genome assembly.
GUGUCGCUAGUGUAGUUGGUUAUCACGUCCGCUUAACACGCGGGAGGUCUCCGGUUCAAUUCCGGAGCGACACA